GCCGGGCACGGUGGCACAUGCCUGUAGUCCCAGCUACUCCGGCGGUUGAGGUGGGAGGACCGCUUGAGCCCAGGAGUUCUGGGCUGUAGUGCGCUAUGCCGAUCACUAAGUUCGGCAUCGAUAUGGUGACCUCCCGGGAGCGGGGGACCACCAGGUAGCCUAAGGAGGGGUGAACCGGCCCAGGUCGGAAACGGGGCAGGUCAAACUCCCAUGCUGGUCAGUAGUGGGAUAGAGCCUGUGAAGAGCCACAGCACUCCAGCCUGAGUAACAUGGUGAGACCCUGUCUCAA
Molecule: unclassified non-coding RNA, 289 nt
Organism: Callithrix jacchus (white-tufted-ear marmoset)
Lineage: Eukaryota; Metazoa; Chordata; Mammalia; Primates; Cebidae
Rfam family: Metazoan signal recognition particle RNA
About the family: The signal recognition particle (SRP) is a universally conserved ribonucleoprotein.
Source: Ensembl